AACCUGUGUAGCCCAGGGGAUUGGCCCUGGGGUAUCCACGACUCGACCGUAAUCGAGUGAGGCCACGGGAA
This is a non-coding RNA of Elusimicrobia bacterium GWA2_66_18, 71 nucleotides long. The record is from Rfam. Lineage: Bacteria; Pseudomonadati; Elusimicrobiota.